CGGGACGUAGCUCAAGGGUCAGAGCGGCUGGCUCAUAACCAGCAGGCUGUCGGUUCGAAUCCGACCGUCCCAACUA
This 76-nucleotide transfer RNA is filed under the name Planctomycetota bacterium. RNAcentral's name for it is "Planctomycetes bacterium tRNA-Met". It matches the Rfam family "tRNA". Rfam says of the family: Transfer RNA (tRNA) molecules are approximately 80 nucleotides in length. Their secondary structure includes four short double-helical elements and three loops (D, anti-codon, and T loops). Lineage: Bacteria; Pseudomonadati; Planctomycetota. The record is from RNAcentral.